This 299-nucleotide long non-coding RNA is filed under the name Homo sapiens (human). RNAcentral's name for it is "HSALNT0140079". The record is from RNAcentral. Lineage: Eukaryota; Metazoa; Chordata; Mammalia; Primates; Hominidae.
GCCUCUGGCACUGUGUCGUCCGCCCGCCACGCAGACUGGCGCGUCCAGGUGGCCGUGAAGCACCUGCACAUCCACACUCCGCUGCUCGACAGAAACUGAAUAUCCUGAUGUUGCUUGGCCAUUGAGAUUUCGCAUCCUGCAUGAAAUUGCCCUUGGUGUAAAUUACCUGCACAAUAUGACUCCUCCUUUACUUCAUCAUGACUUGAAGACUCAGAAUAUCUUAUUGGACAAUGAAUUUCAUGUUAAGUUGCAGAUUUUGGUUUAUCAAAGUGGCGCAUGAUGUCCCUCUCACAGUCACG